UUAUGGCUCAGCUAAGAAGCACAAUAUGAAAGACAAGAAGGUUAACGAUUCUUGACUUUCACAAUAGUAAGUUUUACUGAUGAUCACUGCAAUCUCUUAGAGAUUGCUAGCUUCCAUGUGCCAUCACACAUAAUAGUUUUGUUUUCCUUUUAAGGUAUCUCAUUCAAAUAUUACUGAUUGCCAGCGUCUUAGCUCUAUACAGUUUUGCAACCUACUAACAUAUCAAUUACAAUUUUUUUUCCUAUCCUUGGCUUGGCAAGUAACUUCGUAUGUGAGAAGGCUGAUCUGCAACCGGCACUCUAUUCUCUGAAAGAUAUGGCGAUGAAAAAGAAUGUGUAUGGCCAUGGAGGAGGCUCUUCUUCACAUGUUAACUCCAAGGUGAUCCAUUGAUCGUACCCAUCUGAUCAGCGGGGAAGUUGACCAUGCUUAUUGGAUUGAACCUUGUGCUACAGAGAGAUCGCAGUAGGCAAAGGGAAAUAUUCAGUUUUUUCCUGUUGAUCAGCACCGUACUCAGGCACUCAAAGCCCAUGCCACAUUUAAGGCGUUGUGCCAUUUUGUGGUUGUUAUAUUAUUAGCUCUCUUAUAUUUUCAGCUGUGUUUCGUUUUCCUAUCAGGCUCCUGCCAAUGAGAACCCCAUUAACAGAACAUUACUUAAAACUAGACAACACAGAACUUUGAGUCCUGUUGGACAUUUUCACCUUGAAUCUCUUCAAGUACAUCAAAAUAAAUUUAGUAUCGCGCAUUACCAGUUCAGUUUAAUGAAAGCUGGUUAUAAAUCGUCCUGA
Long non-coding RNA from Lolium perenne, 785 nucleotides. RefSeq lists it as uncharacterized. The record is from RefSeq and is a predicted model, not a curated record. Lineage: Eukaryota; Viridiplantae; Streptophyta; Magnoliopsida; Poales; Poaceae.